RNAcentral lists this ribosomal RNA (492 nucleotides) under uncultured bacterium. Its description in RNAcentral is "bacterial SSU rRNA". It matches the Rfam family "Bacterial small subunit ribosomal RNA", at positions 30 to 514 of the family's 1533-position model. The record is from RNAcentral.
UGAACGCUGGCGGCAGGCCUAACACAUGCAAGUCGAGCGGCAGCACGGGUACUUGUACCUGGUAGCGAGCGGCGGGACGGGUGAGUAACUGCCUAGGAAUCUGCCUGGUAGUGGGGGAUAACGCUCGGAAACGGACGUUAAUACCGCAUACGUCCUACGGGAGAAAGCAGGGGACCUUCGGGCCUUGCGCUAUCAGAUGAGCCUAGGUCGGAUUAGCUAGUUGGUGAGGUAAUGGCUCACCAAGGCGACGAUCCGUAACUGGUCUGAGAGGAUGAUCAGUCACACUGGAACUGAGACACGGUCCAGACUCCUACGGGAGGCAGCAGUGGGGAAUAUUGGACAAUGGGGCAACCCUGAUCCAGCAAUGCCGCGUGUGUGAAGAAGGCCUGAGGGUUGUAAAGCACUUUAGUUGGGAGGAUGGUAGACUAGGUUAAGAGCUAGGUUUAUUGACGUUACCCAAAGAAUAAGCACCGGCUAACUCCGUGCCAGCAG